This is a non-coding RNA of Camellia sinensis, 4668 nucleotides long. The record is from RefSeq and is a predicted model, not a curated record. Lineage: Eukaryota; Viridiplantae; Streptophyta; Magnoliopsida; Ericales; Theaceae.
CUCAAAUAAUCGAAACAAAAUUGAGAACUUUAUUCAAAAAAAUUCGAGCAAGCCAAUCCAGGGUCUGUUUGUUUCCCAGAAAAUGUAGAUGAAAAGAUAAUGAAACAUUAAUUGAGAACUUUAUUCAAAAAAAAUCCAAACAUGCUAAAACAAUGUGACAAAUACUUAUCCAAACCCCAAUGGAGAGAAGAAACAUGCAGCGAAUUUUCUGUCAUUUUCUCAUAAUCAAAGGAAUGGUGAGAAAAUUCCUCAAAAAGAGUGAAAAAAGCACACAAAACGACAUUGUAUAGAAAAGAGCAAAAUGGUACUGUUCUUGACUUUAGUGACGGCAUUCCAGAAGAACCCAAAGGCCGGUCCAUCAGACGGAGUGGGCUUCAGAAAUUGCUGUAGUGGAGUCUGAGUUGGCGGUUGAGCGGUUUGAACCAGCGGCAGAGUGGGAGGUUGAACCGGCAGCAAAGAAGGAACAUUUUUAGCCAGCGAUUCGAAAGCUUUGCCAUCUUUGCCACCACAUCCGCCACCACUAUUGAAGCAACGAUUGUGGUCCAAGGACAUCCACCGCAGUGAGACUUGGUUGAGGAGGAAGGACAACCAGAAGCUGUGCCGACGCCUUGCUAAUGGUAGCAGAUUUGCGAUUGCAUUUCAGAGCGAGUUUGGUCACUGAAUUGAAUUGAAUUGAGAGAAGAGUGCUGGAAUCAUCGAGAGUAGAUCGAAUUGAGUGUUGAGGGAGAGACGGUGGUGGCUUUGCCGCUCCACCCAGGCCACCAGCAGCAGACGAUAACUCACAGAUCAGAGGAGUCGAUGAUGGAACGAAGCUUUGGAGGGGGAAAGAAUGAAGGUUUGAAGAAAUUGAAAGGGCCAUUUGCUUCUACAGCGACAAAGAUGGGCCUGAGAAUAGAGAUUUAAGGAUAGGAAGAGAAUUUAAAUAGGUAGAGAGAAAAAGAAAAGAGAGAAGUUGAACAAGUAGAGAGUAAUUUAGAGUCAUGUAGCUAUCUGUCAUAGAAAGAUGCAAAAUAUGGGAAGUUUGGUCUUUUCGCAGAGGCAUGUCCUUAUGGACAUAGUAAUUUAGAGAGUGGACUUUCAGGCCAAAGAAAUUCAAAAUGGACAUAUGGACGGAGUGGCCUUUUGUUUUUAACUAGAAUUCAUAAAUACAUAUGAGACCCACUUACUUAUGUCUGAGAUAAAAAAUAAGAUUAUAUGCAGCAUUUUUCUAUAUUUAAGUUUGAGAUAAUAUUUUAUUAUUAUUUGAGCCACUGUAAAAAAAACUUGUUGGCCUAAUAAAUUUGUUUUAAUUUAUCAUAUAACACGAUCUAUUUUAUUCUUGACUUUUGGCCCCCAUAUUUAUAAUCUGACUCCACCCUUGUACAAAAAUAAAAAAAAUAAAAAAAAAAAGCAAACAGAGAACUAAUUUAGAUUUUUCACAUUAGGCCCCCAAAAAGCUUGAAUUGGGUCACCUCUGUUUAUGUAGAUAUAUAUUGCCAUAGUAAAAAGAAAACAAUUAAAGAAAUGUGAAUAUGACUGAGAACCGAUGUCAAUUUUGAAUGAGAACAAAACUUAAUAUCAUAUAUUCAUUCUUAGGGUUAGGGUUGUGAAAUCAAAGCGCCAAUGGCACAACUAUCUUGAGUGGCUAAAAAUGUUAAUUUUGAUUGAGAACCAAACUGAAUAUUAAAUUUCAGUAAGGCUUAGGAUUUUGAAAUCCAAAGCCCUAAUGGCACUGCUAUCUUGGAUGUAAAUGAAGUUUAGAGUGAGAAACAAACUUGAGCUACAGAAAAGAGCUCUCGGAAAGAUUCGAUUAGAAUGGAAGCAACUAGUUCUUUGCUCACAAACCCAUGGUGGAGAUGUGAGAGAGUGAGAGCUUGUGAAGAUGUUGACAUUGAGAGAACGGUGGUCCGAAUUGCCGACGGGGCUGGUGGACUUUGGCCAUGGCUGAAAGCUUCGGCCAUGGCAGAACAGAAGAGGGAGGAAAGAGAAGAGCAAGAAGAGGAGAAGAGGGUGUAUUGAUUUGGGUCUCGACCUUGACUGAGAUUCAAUUUUGGUCCUUUUUGGUAACUGGCUACACCGGUGCCAAUUGAAAAAUGAAAUUAUUUAAAAAUAAAUUAGUUAUGAUGUGCUUAAUCGUGGAGAGCAAAGGGGGGGACCAUUGAAUCGGAGAAGGUGGUGGUGGUCCGAAGCAAUAAAAGCAAUGCAAGGGGCAAGAGGGGUUAGAUACCCAGUUUGGCCCCAAACAACCAUAGAGGGCGGUUUUUGCUAACAAUGGCAAUCGAUGAACAACCCUAUAUUAGAAGUUCUAGGUCACCAGCUGAAAGUGAGUCUUCCAAGAAAUGCCAAAGUUUAAUAUACAGAAAACUACAUCCACUACAAGGAAAUAGUGAUUUAGAGACCAAUUGAAUUUGGUUCCUAAAAAUAAUCUUUUAGGGACAAAAAUAAAAGUUGUGAUACUUUUGCAGAAAUGCUUCAUUGUUCACGGUAAAAUCUUUUGGAAUAUUUGGAGACAAAUUAUUUUAGACGUAACUGAACCUUUAGAGACCAAAUGUUUUGGUCCUUAAAAAUGGCCAAUUAGAAAACCACCAUCCUUAUAUCUGAAACUAUUCCAACCCACGGGACCAAACACUCCUUUGCCCUAAUUUUUCAAUUCUCUCUCUCUCUCUCUCGUUUGAAGCUCGGUGUGAGAAAAUGGAUCGUGAAAAUCGAUUUAUCAUUACUCGUUACCGGUAGAUCUAUCAAACAUUUGAGAUGUUAAGCUUCAAUCAGGAUAGAGAUGUCUAUUAGAUCAUAAAAGGAAUAUCGACCCUACUGUAAUUGGAGCUGCACCACAGCACCACUUGUUCACGGGAUUUUUCAGGUUAGUAACAGUUGAAGACCAGAGAGCUCAGGUGAAGCACCCUUAAGCCAAAACAAACAUACAUAUGCAUAAUCCCAGUCAAAUUUUGAUGGUAAUGAUGAUCCCCGUGCUUGAUAACCAAAGAAGUGGCAGGUAGCAUUAAAUUAAUUGUUUUUGAGGAAGAGUGAAAAUAAUCUAUUUUGUUUUUUGAUCAGGUUAAUUCCCAGCCCAUUAGCAACAUUUGCAUUGAUGCUCUCUCUGCAGAGAAGACAAGUACCAUGGAGUCAUUCUGCUACCUGAUGGGCUUAUUGAAAGCAUUCCUGAAGUGUAUGCUCUCUUUCAGGAAAUUCAUGGUUUGUUCAGGCAAGUUGUUUCUGUUGACAACAUUUCUUCUCAACUGUCACCUUGGGCAUCUGCCUCGUUUGAAUUUUUGCCACCCUCAUUAGAAAGCAGAUUAUUAUCCCACAUAUUAUCACAUUGAAAGCUCCUCAUCUUCCCAGAAUCAGAUGAAUCUGCACAGUUAUCCCAGAUUGAGACAGAAACUUUUAGCUCAUCUUGUGGAAGCAGAAAUCAACAAGAGAUUCCUAAAUAUAGCCACCUGUGUCUGGGUUCUUAUUUAGCUUUUGACAAACUGAAGUUAAAUUUUUUCCCCAAUACUUUCAAUAAAUUACAAAAAUUCUUAAAAUCUUAUUCAAUUUAAAAUACCCCAAAAAGAUCAUUCUGCAACUAUUUGCUAUUGGUUUCUUCCAUUCCAUCCACUGCUUUGCAUUUUUAUUUUGAUGAAGAACCUCAUGAAAUGAUCUGGGAGAUGCUGCUGUAGAGUUAUUGCAUACUCUGCUAGCUGUGCAUGCAGAGGUAUUUGUAAUGCAUGCUUUGUGUGGUUUGUGCUCGAAAAUUUUCUUGUCUUGUUAAUAAAUUCUUCUCGCUUUCUUUUCUUUUUCUUUUUGUUGUUUUGGCCUACAUGUCGUGCCACACUGUAUAAUUUCUAUACUGAGAAACCAUAUCCACAUCAGUUUAAGGCCAAUUUCUGAACGCCGACUAAGCAAUAUACUAAAAGUGUGCUUUAGUUCAUUUGCUUAUCCAAGUUUAUGAGGUGAAAUAAUUCCCUUGUUGCCAGUCUUUAAAAAAUGCAACUUCUUUUAAUAAAUAAAUAAAAAGUGAAUACUAAGGGCCUGAUUGUUAUGUUUUGUUUUUUCCAUUUUUAAAUUCCAUCUCGUCUUUGAAUUUUUAGAAAUGAAACAUCUAGAUUGCAAAAGCAUGGUUGUCAUGGGAUUGUUGCCCUUUUUUAAUGUACUUGAGAUUUUUAGAAUUCAUUGAACUAUUUUGAUUUUUUUUUUUUUCCCCUGUUCUGUUUUGCAUUUUUUCCCAUUUUGAAAAUGUACCUGUUUUUGCAAAUGAUGCACAUCUUCUUUUUUCUUUCUUUUUCUGUUGUUGUCAAAUUCACUUUAAGCAAAUUCAAGUACAUUCUUUGUUUGUCAUCAUGGUACUUUGAUUUAGAAACACAAUUUGUAUUAAUCCUAGUUGUUUCAUAAAUAGUCAUCAAUUGGAGCAGGAGCAGACUUCUCGGCACCAUCUUCACAAAGGGUAUUUAUGGUGCUGAACAAUCUCCUGGACAAUCUUUCUCAUUGCCAUCUUUGGUUUUUUGCUUUUUUUUCUUUUGAUCCCCAAUUUAUUUUAUUUGCCAUCUUGGAGUUUUAUGUUUUGUAAAAAGUUACUUUCUAUAUCAUUAUGGUUUGGGAAUUGAGUUGUGGAUGUCAAUUUUUUGUUUUUUAUAUGAUUGAAUGUAAAUUUUAAUUUUUGUGCAUUUUUAGUUAUGAAAUUAAAAAUGGUUACAAAAUAUUUUCCAGACA